AGAUGCCAGGGUCAAAAGAUCAAAAUGUCGUUCUUGCUUGCAAGAUAAGACAUUUGAACUUGGGACCCGCUAAACAUGAGGAAGUAGCUAUUUACGCAGUAAAUAUGCGAAUUCCGAAUGUUUAUAGAAUUGCGAGAGUUACUUGUAACGGAGCAAUUCGCAGGCAUCU
RNAcentral lists this small RNA (169 nucleotides) under Firmicutes bacterium CAG:56. RNAcentral's name for it is "Clostridiales-1 RNA". It matches the Rfam family "Clostridiales-1 RNA". Lineage: Bacteria; Bacillati; Bacillota. The record is from Rfam by way of RNAcentral.